Mercenaria mercenaria is the source of this 1905-nucleotide long non-coding RNA. RefSeq lists it as uncharacterized. Lineage: Eukaryota; Metazoa; Mollusca; Bivalvia; Venerida; Veneridae. The record is from RefSeq and is a predicted model, not a curated record. The transcript is spliced from 3 exons.
UUAGUAUAGCAUUGUAUUGUAUACUAUUUGACCGUCAAUAGUAUACUCCCUCAUAAACAAUGAUGAGUAUACCAUUAGUAUACUAUUAUACAUUGUACCCUGCUUGUGUAUAUCAUUAGUAUACCAUUGUACUUUGUAAACUAUUGAGUAUACCAUUAGUAUACCAUUAUACUUUAUCCUGCAAGACUUUAGAAGAAUCUGAUCUUUUUCAUACAUAUCCCUGGUAGAUUAUGUCACGGGAACAAUUGUAGAAAUAAACAAUUAUUUUUGGUCAUCUCUGCUUUGUUUUAUUACAGACAGAAAUUUACAGCCUUCUGUAAUUAAGGGGUUGCUAGGAUAUUUAUUAUUAAUGUGGGGUCUGAGUGCAUUCUCUUAUAAGUUUUAUAAGGAUUAAGAUGUUAAACUGUGGUGAUUCAAAUGGUUUUUAAAGAAAACUCAUGCAGGUUUGAUUUAUUAUCUUUUUAAAAUUGUUAUUAUUAAUCUUCUAAUUAAUGCAACAGUUUUUGUUGUUGUUGUUGUUGUUGUUGUUUUAGAUUCAUGCAUCUUUCUUAUUUUCUUACAUUACAGCAGUAAAUUUUGGAAACAUUUACAGCAAUGAAAAUGUACUUUGACAUUUUCAUAAGAUAUUUUUCAAUCAAAGAAGUAUAAAAUACUUUUUUUUUUAAUAUUAUCUAUGUUUAAAUGUACAAGCUGCAGAUCUCGAAAUCUGACACCAGCUGACGUCGAGGUAAACACCCCGGAUAUCUGUAGGUUGUAGCCUAAACCUGCAUGGGAAGAAGAUUGUUCCAGCCGAAACAUUUUCAUGUAAAAGCAUCAAAUUACACUAAAUCAAAACAAAAUAUUCAUGUUUGAAAGGCUAAUAAAAUUAUUUACAAUAUGUAUUUUAUUUGUUCUUUUAUUGCCUUAUUACCGGAUUCAUAAUCUUGUUAUCUAGCAGCAAAUUGCGAGUACACAUGUACGCUUGCAGAAUGACUGGUAAUAAAGUAUAAACAAUCGAGCUAUAAAUGUUAAUGACUUCUUAUCCAAUCAGAAAGGGGGAAUUUGAAUGCCUUAUAACUUGUGGCAAUACAACACUUCUACGCAAAGAAGUAGUCCCCCUAAGUGUCACCUGUUUUUCUAAAAAAUACGAAAUUUUCAGACAUGCCCCACAUAUCAAUGCAAAAUAUACUUUCUUAACUUUAAUUUAGUUCAAAACUUUUGUUUUGGAAACACUAUUUACCGGGUCGCAUCUGUUUCUGAAAAUAGCAACUUUCGGAAAAACCCAUAGGUCGCGCACGUUUUCAGGUCGGCCGCCAUUUUGAAAUUUGUGAAAACAAUAGGACACACAAUAUCGUCAAAAAUCAAUAUAACUGUUGAUUAAAAAGCUUGGAAACGAUUAAAAAUGAAAUGAUUGUUUAAUCAUAACAUUUGAUAAGACUGAUCAUCGAUAAGUGACCUGACGGCCGACCGGACAAUAAAUUAUCAAGUGCUGGUUUCAUAUUGGAGAUGAUUGCAUGUACGGGCAUUGGGCUGGGAAAAUCAAACCCUGGCGAUUAAAGACUGACUACCCUAAAACCCGAUGAAUGUGGAAGACCUGAAAGACUAUGUGACAGUGUGGUGUAAAAAGAAGUAUGGUGCAGCAAACUGAUGCUAGGCGGAAUCUGGCAAUAACAGAAAGAAUUGGAUAUAUGUCAAUAAGUUUGCCAAAAAAAAGAACAAAUAUUCGGUGAAAAUGACUUCAGUGUAUACUUCUCUAGUGUUAAAUGGCAGUUGCAUUUAAUGGAAUAAUUCUUAUUUUGAAUUUUAUAUAUAUUUAGCAGAUUAGAAAGCUUCAGAGGUAUUUCUAUCAUUCGUUUCUAAUUUGUCAUGUUAAAUCAUAUUCAUGUUAUUAUUUUGAAUUCUGUGAAUUAAAUAAUUUACAAAGAA